AUGCGUAAAAUCCCGACUGCAAGGAAGGGAUGUAUUUAUUAGAUAAAAAAUCAAUGCAGGCAACUGCUUCAUUGGUGACUCAUAGUAACUGAUCGAAUCGCAUGGCUUUAUGCUGGCGAUAGUUCAUUCAAAUUUCUGCCCUAUCAGCUUUCGACGGUAGUGUAGUGGACUACCGUGGCGUUAACGGGUGACGGAGAAUUAGGGUUCGAUUCCGGAGAGGGAGCCUGAGAAACGGCUACCACAUCCAAGGAAGGCGGCAGGCGCGCAAAUUACCCAAUCCUGACACAGGGAGGUAGUGACAAGAAAUAACAAUACCGGGCCUUUCCAGGUCUGGUAAUUGGAAUGAGUACAAUUUAAAAACCUUAACUAGGAUCCAUUGGAGGGCAAGUCUGGUGCCAGCAGCCGCGGUAAUUCCAGCUCCAAUAGCGUAUAUUAAUGUUGCUGCAGUUAAAAAGCUCGUAGUUGGAUUUCUGACUUGGCGCACCUGGCCCGCCACGGUUACGUGUGUGAGUGCCGGGAUGCGCCUGUCACUUUUCUGGUAAACUAUUGUGCUCUUCAUUGAGUGUGAUAGGUAGCCAGAUAUUUUACUUUGAAAAAAUUAGAGUGUUUAAAGCAGGCGUUUGCUAUGAAUACAUUAGCAUGGAAUAAUAACUUAGGACUUCGGUUCUAUUUUGUUGGUUCCUAGGACUGAAGUAAUGAUUGAUAGGGAUAGUUGGGGGUGCUAGUAUUCAGCGGCCAGAGGUGAAAUUCUCGGAUUCGCUGAAGACUAACUUAUGCGAAAGCAUUCACCAAGGAUGUCUUCUUUAAUCAAGAACGAAAGUUGGGGGAUCGAAGACGAUCAGAUACCGUCGUAGUCUCAACCAUAAACUAUGCCGACUAGGGAUGAGUGAACGUUGCAUUCUCGACUUCAUUCGCACCUUAUGAGAAAUCAAAGUCCUUGGGUUCCGGGGGGAGUAUGGUCGCAAGGCUGAAACUUAAAGGAAUUGACGGAAGGGCACCACCAGGAGUGGAGCCUGCGGCUUAAUUUGACUCAACACGGGGAAACUUACCAGGUCCAGACUCAGUGAGGAUUGACAGAUUGAAGWUCUUUCUUGAUUCUAUGG
RNAcentral lists this ribosomal RNA (1103 nucleotides) under uncultured Cercozoa. Its description in RNAcentral is "SSU rRNA". It matches the Rfam family "Eukaryotic small subunit ribosomal RNA", at positions 172 to 1284 of the family's 1831-position model. The record is from RNAcentral. Lineage: Eukaryota; Cercozoa.